Vicia villosa (hairy vetch) is the source of this 82-nucleotide small nucleolar RNA. RefSeq annotates it as small nucleolar RNA Z159/U59. The transcript has a single exon. The record is from RefSeq and is a predicted model, not a curated record. Lineage: Eukaryota; Viridiplantae; Streptophyta; Magnoliopsida; Fabales; Fabaceae.
GCCUCUGAGGAUGAUCAAAAAUAACUUUCGUUCUACUGAGUUGCCCAUGCGGAAAUUACAUGGAAACCUGAACUGAAGAGGC